GUAGUACUCAUUCAUUUAUAGAUAUAUAUGUAUAAAUAUAUUUAUUUUUAGAAGGAAAACUGUCUUACAUUAGCGGUUGGAAAUCAAGAAAUACUGUACGAUGGAGUGCUUAGUAAUCUGCUGCCAAAAGAGCCAUGAUCCAAUACCCCUUCCAGAUGGAGAGAGUGUAUUACUUGGCAGAGGCCCUCUGACCCAAAUUACAGACAAGAAAUGCUCCAGAAAUCAAGUUCAGCUCACAGCAAAUUAUGUAAAAAAGGAAGUGCUUGUUACUCAGCUGGGUAACAAUUCAAGUUCUGUUGGAGGAGCGAGUCUUAGCAAAGGAGACUCAACAUCUCUUGGUCCUGGAGGAACUUUCUGUCUUCUUGGAGACAAGUACUCUCACUUCAUCUAUUUCAGUCAACUUCAACCAUCUGAAAGAGAUAAAAAUGAUGAUGAACCUAAAGCCAAGAAAGCUUGUUUUGAUACUUUAAGUGAUUCAGAUGAUAAUCUCACAUCUGAAGACCUAGAGGACAUACGCCGUGAAUUUGGCCAAGAGAUGGUGGAAAAGAUACGACCACAAAACAACAAAAAAGUUGAUCUUUUAAAAGGGGAUCUAGAUUCUUGUAAUUUGAGGGAGUCAUGGAAGGAUAUUGGAGGGGAGCUAAUUGUUUUUACCUGUAGAGGGAUGGAAGCAAGUUCUAAGAUUGCUGGUUUUGACUUGGAUGGAACACUUAUCACCACUCAGUCUGGGAAGGUGUUUCCUACCUCAAUAACAGAUUGGCAAAUACUAUGUCCAGAAGUUGUUCCAAAACUGAAAGAUCUUUGGCAUAAUGGAUACAAGGUUGUCAUUUUUACAAACCAGCUUGGCAUUUCCAAAAAGCAGUUAAAGGUAGCAGACUUUAAGUCCAAGAUUGAGCAGAUCAUUAAUUACCUCAAAGUACCUGUGCAGGUUUUAAUUGCAACAGGAAAUAGUGUCUACCGCAAGCCGCUCACUGGAAUGUGGAAGCACUUAAUCACACAGGCCAAUGAUGAUGUUACUGUAGAUGAAAAGGACAGUUUCUUUGUUGGUGAUGCAGCUGGGCGACCAGCUGGCUGGGAGCCAGGAAAGAAGAAGGAUUUCUCUUGCAACGAUAGAUUGUUUGCAGAAAACAUUGGAACACAGUUCCACACUCCAGAAGAAUUCUUCCUAAAGUAUAAGCCAUCACCAUUUGAAUGGCCAAAAUUUCUACCGAAAAAUCUAGAUGCUAAUGGAUCUUUAUUAAAUCCAUCAAAUGCAAAGUUGAAGUCAGAAGGUCAAGAGCUAAUUGUUAUGGUCGGAUAUCCCGCAUCUGGGAAAACCACCUUUGUUCAAGAUUAUCUUCUACCGCUGGGUUACGUCCAAAUAAACAGGGAUAUCCUAGGUACAUGGCAGAAGUGUGUUUCUGCUUGCAAGGAUGUAUUGUUAUCGGGUAAAAGAGUAGUAGUGGACAACACAAGUCCAACAAGGGAAGCAAGAAAGAGAUACCUUGACUGUGCAAAACAAGCCAGGAUAAGUGCUCGGUGUUUCUUAUUUGACGUGACCUUUGAACACGCUCAACAUAACAAUAAGAUCCGUGAAAUGACGAACAAAGACAGCACAUACAAGCACGUUGGACACUUGGCUUUUGUGAAAUACAACGAUGCAACCCAUCACUUUCUAGAAGGCGAAUUUUUUUGGUGAAUUCAAAGGAAAGUGAAUCUACAAUACUGUUAACGGAAGUUCGUUUACCUGCGCUGAUUACCCAUACCGCUGAUUACCCAUACCGCUGAUUACCUGUGGAAAGUGAUUAGCAUCUGAAAUGUUUCUAUAUUGAGGUCAAAUAACACUGGUGUGCAAUACUUCAUGAGAGGUCUUCGUACGAAGAACCACGUUGCGAAGAAGGCUUUGAAGAGAUUGUUAAAGUAAACUUUGUACCAAGGUUUAAAGACGAUCGCGUGAAAGAAUUGUACAUGCAGUUUCAUAACUGAGUUUCAAGUCAAAGUGACCAGGGAGAGUCACAUAAUUCAAAAACUGAGUGCGUGGCUAGCAUGUAGGGUUGAGUACGCAUACCUAGCGAAUCAUCUCAGCAGCGCACUUUUGACUUUUUUACCUAUGACUUUUCUGUCAACACGUGGACCUUUCAGUGGUUACAAGAGAUUACAAACUGAUCUCUUGGUGGUAGUUCAUGGCGUAUUUCUAACGACUUUCGGCUGAUUUCCCUGGCUUUUCACUGUUUUUCCUUUUGGUAAAAAUCACGAGGCGAAAAAGGGAAGUAAAGGUUACUUUAUCAAAA
Pocillopora verrucosa is the source of this 2270-nucleotide RNA transcript. It is a transcript of the gene named bifunctional polynucleotide phosphatase/kinase, with no coding region annotated. Lineage: Eukaryota; Metazoa; Cnidaria; Anthozoa; Scleractinia; Pocilloporidae. The record is from RefSeq and is a predicted model, not a curated record.